Molecule: long non-coding RNA, 5200 nt
Filed under: Sus scrofa (pig)
Lineage: Eukaryota; Metazoa; Chordata; Mammalia; Artiodactyla; Suidae
Description: lncRNA (ENSSSCG00060055924.1)
Source: RNAcentral
UAUACAUUCAUAAACCCAAGUUCAAAGGACAGAGGCUUUGGGCCACUCACAGGCUCUCGUCAACCUCUUGGGACUGGGAUGCAAGGGGAGCUUGCCCAUUCCCAGCCCUCCCAGAGACCAAAGUGACCUUCUCCAGGAGUCCGUACUACAGCUGUUCUCAGCUGUAACAGUUGGUUCACCUGCCCUGCUCUGUGUCCCUGAGCCAUAAACCUACAGACAAUCUGCCUCCUGACCCUAGGCUCAGGCUGCCUGCCCCUGUAGCAAUGGGCAGCUCAUCAGGGCCAAAGUUUUCAUUGUAUUUACAUUUCCCCAAAGAUUGAAAGGAGCUGGUUAUAAAAGCAAAAGAAAGUUGAGGCAUUCAACCUCCCUGGGCCUUUUAAGACAAUAGACCUAUUAGUCUAUGUGAAUUUCCAGGAAGAAGCCUCUAAUUAAAGCUUAUGGCCUCUCAGCUGCCAUUGGCUGGCGAUGUGGCUUGUCCUUCCUGUUCAUUAAAGCAGAAGGGCAUCCUAGCGGUGUUGUGGUCUCACAGAGCCUAUGCCCACCAUCCGGCCCACUCUCCCAGUGAGCUCGGGAGGAUCCCAGUGCCACCAUGACAGCCCCAUCACUCCCUUGAGUGUGACUUGGGAUCCAGACAGGAUAUUACACCCGAGUUCUUGAAGGAAAUGAUAAGACUCUGGUCUACCAGUUGCAUAAAUGAUUAACGACGGGUAAUUAGUCGGUGUUUGUUAAGCCUUUUAUAGACACAAAAUGCUGGCUAAGAGCUAAAUGAAGAAGCAAAAGCAGCAAAAGCCAGAAGAUUUUACAUCCACCCACAUGCUGCUCACAGAACCCCAGAAUGUUGGAGCAGAGGGAAGAGGGAACCCAGAGAUCAUCUGCCCUGUGGUUUGCAAACUGUGCAUUGCGGGGCUUUCAGGGCAGCUGCUGAGAAACUGCCUCCCAGUGUUUCUUCCCCAAACAAAUCGCAACCAAAGUUCCACAGAAACUCACAUCAUAACUUGAAAACCGAGACUAUCAAAAACUGCAAAAUAACUAUGAGUAAAGAGAGAAAAAGCAUCACAAGCCCUCUUGUGUGCCCAGUCUAUGCCCAUCAGCCAGCAAACAGCUCCCUCAGCCCAGUCACCAUCCUCUACUCUGGAAGUGCCCAAGGCCCUGAGAUGAGGAGCUCUGCCUGCAGUCCCAGAAGAAAGGAAGUAAAAUGUCUCCCAGAUGAUAAAAGUCGCAAAUGAACCUAUCUACAGAAAAGAAACUCAUGGACUUGGAGAACUUGUGGUUGCCACGAGGGAGGAGAAGGACUGGGAGUUUGGGGUUAGUAGAUACAAACUACUGCAUUUGGAGUGGAUAAGAGAUGAGAUCCUGCUGUAUAGCACAGGGAACUAUAUCUAGUCACUUUGAUGGAACAUGAUGGAGGACAAUGUGAAAAAAAGAAUGUAUAUAUGUAUAACUGGGUCACUUUGCUGUAUAGCAGAAACUGACAGAACAUUGUAAAUCUAAUAUAAUGGAAAAAAUAAAAAUCUUAAAAAAAAAUCACACCCCUAAAAAAAAAAAAAAGGAAGCUUUAGACCAAUGCACAGGGGACUUUGCAAUGUGAUAUUUGGUUAGUCUGGCCCUGCCCUGGUACCUACAUUUUAGGAACGGAGCCUUUCUCCGCCUCAUUUGGUAGCUUAGGGCCCCACUGCUGAUGCCUUGUGUCGCCUGGGUUCUGCCCACUAUUCCGCCCAUGCACGGUUUGCAUUGAGAGGAUCCCUUCCCUUUGGCACCAGCUUUCCAGUGGGCAGCCCCAGUACCUCCUCUUACCCAUGUCCCUCUUUCCCCUGGAAUGGUGCUUCACCAACAUGCUCUCUGAUGUUCCCCAAAUGGCACAAGGGUGAAGUCACCUCCCAGAAUCUGGGGGAUCACUAUGAGCAGGAAAGGUCUUUUAUCUUAAAUUUAUGUGCAGUUUGCAUUGGAGCCCAAUAUAUAGCCCUGCUAGUUUUAAUGCACAUGUCCCCCACACCAGUCUGGGAAGAUGUACCAUGUUGAUUCUGUGCACUUGGACAUUCCCAGUACGUCACUGCACAUCUCCGAGGUACCAGUGUCCAAGCGUGAGAAGAGCUGGCCCUGCUUUCCCUCAAGCCACCUGUUGGAUCCUGACUCCUCCCAAUUUGCCCAGAACCAAAUGCUUUCAGCCACUUCCUGUCUGGACAAGUCUCUGGAGGCAGGGAGGUCAGCCAAGUUGGGACACAGCAUUGAGAGCAGAGUCAUCUUGUCCUCCUGGAGGGGACACCCUAAGACUUCUCGGAGCACCUGAGUUGUACGGUUCCCUGCUGUUUUUCUGGAUGACUCAUACCAAUUGUUUAUAUCAUGGUUAAUUAAGAGUUGUCAAGGCCACCGGAUCAAUACUGUCACGAGACACUCUUUUGGCGUAGGGGAGAGGAGACCUGACCUUGUGUGAUUUCCCACUAGGUUCCAGGCACUGUGUCACAUAGGCACACACGCUAACAUAUUUAAUUCCCACAUGGACCCUGAGCCAGGUACCCUCGUCUUCCUUUCACACAUGAAUGAUCUCGUACUACGAGAUGUAACAGACACAUAGCACUCAAACAACUCAGGACCCAAACUCACAUUUUCCUCAUCCAAAUCCUAGCCUCCCUCCACUAUUCAUGAUGUGGUGUCCCUGUUCUUUUGGUUGGAUCUUUUUGCCCAUUUCACUUGUUACGGCCUCUACCAAAGAAGGAAAGAAAUAGAGGAGAUGAGGUUGGAAUAUACUCACUUUGCUGUUGGCUGUUUCAGGAAGAUGGAGAGGAGGCAGGAGAGCUGGUGGAUUGAAACCAAUGUCUAGGUGACCUUUCUCUUAUCAUCUCCAGAAUUAAUUAUGUGAGUCUACCCCGUUUGCCUCACAGCUACAGGUUUUAGGAAUGGCUACAAAGGGGCCUUAGAGACCCGAAGAGAGAAAACAGCCUCACCAAACCCCUCAUUCAUCACUGUCUGGAGUGAUAGUCUCAUUAAUAACUGGGGCUUAAUCCUCCACAUUCAAAGAGACUCCCAUUACCCAAAACAAUAAUUUUUUAAAUUACCCAGGCAGAGUGGCAAUUGCACAUUGAAUACUAAGGAUGAUUUAAAACUAAUAAAUACUUUUGGAAAUUCCUUGAACAUUUUAAUGAAUUAAAAGUUAUGAAAUAUUUAUAAGCAGUAACAACACCAUUUAGUACCAUUAAUAAAAUAAAUACAUUAGUCAGAGAAUGAAAUUCAUUACUGUUUUACUACUAGACAUUGAUGUCAAUGACUGAAUAUUGCUCCAAAUUACUUGUAAAAUAGACCAAUUAUUUUAGUGUGAUUAAUCUUUUCAAUUAUUUCUUUUAUGUAGUUGUAAUUUGAAAGUAAUUUUCUUUGGGGAGUACAAUGACCUCAGCACACUGGUUCCUUAUUUAUUUAUAUUGAAAAACCUUUUGUGUCUGCUCCCAUUUCUGGAUGGUUUUCAAUGGUCAAAUAUUUAAAAUAGUAGCCCAGGCAAUCAUUACUGUUCCUAAGCACUUUGUGGGGCAUUUCUAAUUGGCUUGAUUAGUGAUUAUGAAUGAGCCAUUCCAAAGCAGGAAGUCUCUGCCAACAGCAGCUAUACAUCAGUAGGGAAAGGAGGGGCAGACAAAGUUCUCUUCUGGUUCCACCAGCUGGGGGCCUGGCUCUUUUAGACUCCAUGCUUCAUCUGCUUGAGGAGGCAGCGUGAUAAGCAGGUCAAAGGAUUUUAGGUCUUCCCUGGGCCUCAAGCAUCCCCACAGGAUUAAAUGGUCCUUCUCCUUUGUGGGGCACAGUGGAUUCUGUGCACCUGAUCACAAAGGAGAAAAAUGACUUCGUUGGAGACAUAAGCAUAGAGAAGCAGCUGCCUGUGAAAUCAGAAGGUAGAUAUGGGCUGUCAGGGUCUCUGUGGAUAAUGGGGUAAGCCCUCCCUUGGCACAAUGGUUCAGACAAGGCCCAGAGUCAAAGUGAAAGAUAGAUUCAAUUUAUAUGCCAAUUAGGGAACUAUUAGGGAAUAUUAAGGAAUUAUUACUAAAAUUAUUAUGUGUGAUAAUGAUAUUGUGGUUCUUUUAAAGAGUCUUUAUUUUUAGAGAUGUAUACUAAAAUGUUUAAGAAAGGUGAUAUAAUGUCUGGGAUUUAGAAAGCAAUCUAGGAUGGUAAGAGAGCAGUGGAAUGCCACAGCCAGCUCGUACUUGUUGGCAAGAGCUGACUGUCAAAUUUUCAGGAAUUUUGUGAGCUAGUCGGUAAAGAGUUAUUGUUGAAAAUUAAAUCCUAUAAACUUACAGUUAAACAAAAUAUAUUAUUUAAAAGGUAAUAUAUUAAAACAAAAAACAACAACAAAAUAAAGUGAAAGGUGGGUGUAAACCUGCAAAUAUACAACAUACCCUGGGCUAGUUGUGCAGAAUUAUUCAGCCCUGGUUCCAGAAUAAGGACAGUCAGGGGACAUGGGACAGAGAGGGCGAUGGUGUUUAUUGCGCCAAGCACUGUGCUAGGGGCUCUACACAUGAUAUCACUUUUCAUUUCCCAACAAACCUAUAAUUGUGUAUUAUUAGUCCCAUUUACUUAUGAGACCAAAUCGAAACUCAUGGUUUAAAAAAAACCCACAAAACUCUUCUGUGCUCAAAAGAGUAGUAAGUGAUGGAGCUGGAAUUCCACACUCGUUCUGUCUGAUGCCAAAGCUUGUACUCUCUCUCCUAGGUUGUAACAAGAAAACCUUUAUUCAGUGCUUACCAUGGGGAAAGCGCUGUUAGUUGCUGAUUGGGAUGCAGAGAUUUUAAAAAAAAGACAGUCUUUAAAAAAAAAAAUAGAACCUAGCAUCUAUUGAGGAAGACACAUAAAUAACUCUGGAAAGAAGUAGACUGUUCUAAAACAGAAAUAUAUAGAAAUAGAAUCCUGAGCUGGGACUUCUUAGAGAAGAUAGCAUUUUAGCUGAGAUUUGAAAGAUGUGGGGAACUCGGAGAGGCAGCUAUUGGGAAUGGGAGAGGGGGCAAAGCUGGAACAAAAGCUUGAGGGGAGAAGGCCUUUGGGGAAAUGGGAGUGGAUCUUCGUGCCGAGAUGAAAUCCCCACUUUGACACUUAUCUUUUAAAUGGCACAGUCCACUGAUAAAUUAUGGGCAAGAGGUUUUAGGAAGAGGGAGUUAAGGAGGUGAGUGUUUGGUAAAUGGGGUUCACCCUCCACCUGGAGGAUGCACACAACGAGGACCAGGUGAGG